RNAcentral lists this ribosomal RNA (506 nucleotides) under uncultured bacterium. RNAcentral describes it as "partial 16S ribosomal RNA". It matches the Rfam family "Bacterial small subunit ribosomal RNA", at positions 30 to 523 of the family's 1533-position model. The record is from RNAcentral.
AUUGAACGCUGGCGGCAGGCUUAACACAUGCAAGUCGAGCGGUAACAGAGAGAAGCUUGCUUCUCUGCUGACGAGCGGCGGACGGGUGAGUAAUGCCUAGGAAUCUGCCUAGUAGUGGGGGAUAACUUGCCGAAAGGUAAGCUAAUACCGCAUACGUCCUACGGGAGAAAGGAGGGGACCUUCGGGCCUCUCGCUAUUAGAUGAGCCUAGGUCGGAUUAGUUAGUUGGUGAGGUAAUGGCUACCCAAGACCGCGAUCCGUAACUGGUCUGAGAGGAUGAUCAGUCACACUGGAAAGUAGACACGGUCCAGACGCCGACGGGAGGCAGCAGUGGGGAAUAUUGGACAAUGGGGGGAACCCUGAUCCAGCCAUGCCGCGUGUGUGAAGAAGGUCUUAGGAUUGUAAAGCACUUUAAGUUGGGAGGAAGAGCAGUUAACUAAUAUUUGACUGUUUUGACGUUACCGACAGAAUAAGCACCGGCUAACUUCGUGCCAGCCGCCGCCGUAA